Unclassified non-coding RNA from Gopherus agassizii (Agassiz's desert tortoise), 181 nucleotides. The record is from Ensembl. NCBI's taxonomy places the organism in Eukaryota, Metazoa, Chordata, Testudines, Testudinidae.
GUGCCAGAUUGUAGCCUGAAGCCCUCUGUUUAUCUAUAGAUUAGAUUAAAGCAAAGAUGGCAGCCAUGCAAGAUUCCCCAUGGUGACUAGCUAAUCUGCCUCAAUCCUGACCUGGAGUGACCACCUCUAGAGGGGAGAAGAUACCACUCUGUGUGUACAUUUAGUGCUUUGCUUCUCUGCU